This 450-nucleotide ribosomal RNA is filed under the name uncultured bacterium. RNAcentral's name for it is "partial 16S ribosomal RNA". It matches the Rfam family "Bacterial small subunit ribosomal RNA", at positions 354 to 796 of the family's 1533-position model. The record is from RNAcentral.
GUGGGGAAUUUUGGACAAUGGGGGCAACCCUGAUCCAGCCAUGCCGCGUGCGGGAAGAAGGCCUUCGGGUUGUAAACCGCUUUUGUCAGGGAAGAAAUCCUUUGGGUUAAUACCUCGGAGGGAUGACGGUACCUGAAGAAUAAGCACCGGCUAACUACGUGCCAGCAGCCGCGGUAUUACGUAGGGUGCGAGCGUUAAUCGGAAUCACUGGGCGUACAGCGUGCGCAGGCGGUUUUGUAAGAUCGAUGUGAAAUCCCCGGGCUCAACCUGGGAACGGCAUUGGUGACUGCAAGGCUGGGGUGCGGCAGAGGGGGAUGGAAUUCCGCGUGUAGCAGUGAAAUGCGUAGAUAUGCGGAGGAACACCGAUGGCGAAGGCAAUCCCCUGGGCCUGCACUGACGCUCAUGCACGAAAGCGUGGGGAGCAAACAGGAUUAGAAACCCCUGUAGUCC